RNAcentral lists this ribosomal RNA (459 nucleotides) under uncultured bacterium. Its description in RNAcentral is "partial 16S ribosomal RNA". It matches the Rfam family "Bacterial small subunit ribosomal RNA", at positions 338 to 795 of the family's 1533-position model. The record is from RNAcentral.
CCUACGGGAGGCAGCAGUGAGGAAUAUUGGUCAAUGGCCGAGAGGCUGAACCAGCCAAGUCGCGUGAGGGAAGAAUGUCCUAUGGAUUGUAAACCUCUUUUGUCAGGGAGCAAAGUCACCCACGUGUGGGUGUUGGAGAGUACCUGAAGAAAAAGCAUCGGCUCACUCCGUGCCAGCAGCCGCGGUAAUACGGAGGAUGCGAGCGUUAUCCGGAUUUAUUGGGUUUAAAGGGUGCGUAGGCGGGUUAUCAAGUCAGCGGUAAAAAUUCGGGGCUCAACCCCGUCGUGCCGUUGAAACGGAUGUUCUUGAGUGGGCGAGAAGUAUGCGGAAUUCCUGGUGUAGCGGUGAAAUGCGUAGAUAUCAGGAGGAACACCGGCGGCGAAGGCGGCUUACUGGACUGUAACUGACGUUGAGGCUCGAAGGCGUGGGGAGCAAACAGGAUUAGAUACCCCGGUAGUC